CGCGUAGGCGGUUAAAUAAGUCAGAUGUGAAAGCCCCGGGCUCAACCUGGGAACUGCAUUUGAAACUGUUUAGCUAGAGUGUGGUAGAGGAGAGUGGAAUUUCAGGUGUAGCGGUGAAAUGCGUAGAUAUCUGAAGGAACAUCAGUGGCGAAGGCGGCUCUCUGGACUGUUACUGACGCUGAGGUGCGAAAGCUAGGGGAGCGAACG
This 207-nucleotide ribosomal RNA is filed under the name uncultured bacterium. RNAcentral's name for it is "partial 16S ribosomal RNA". It matches the Rfam family "Bacterial small subunit ribosomal RNA", at positions 568 to 774 of the family's 1533-position model. The record is from RNAcentral.